GAUGAACGCUAGCGAUAGGCUUAACACAUGCAAGUCGAGGGGCAGCAUGGUCUUAGCUUGCUAAGACUGAUGGCGACCGGCGCACGGGUGCGUAACGCGUAUGCAACUUGCCUCACAGAGGGGGAUAACCCGUCGAAAGACGGACUAAUACCGCGUACACUCCAUCUUGGGCAUCCAAGGUAGAGGAAAUGAAAUUCGCUGUGAGAUAGGCAUGCGUCCCAUUAGCUAGUUGGUGAGGUAACGGCUCACCAAGGCGACGAUGGGUAGGGGAACUGAGAGGUUGAACCCCCACACUGGUACCGAGACACGGACCAGACUCCUACGGGAGGCAGCAGUGAGGAAUAUUGGUCAAUGGGCGAGAGCCUGAACCAGCCAAGUCGCGUGAAGGAUGACUGUCUUAUGGAUUGUAAACUUCUUUUAUACGGGAAUAACAAGAGUCACGUGUGACUCCCUGCAUGUACCGUAUGAAUAAGCAUCGGCUAACUCCGUG
This 490-nucleotide ribosomal RNA is filed under the name uncultured bacterium. RNAcentral describes it as "partial 16S ribosomal RNA". It matches the Rfam family "Bacterial small subunit ribosomal RNA", at positions 28 to 507 of the family's 1533-position model. The record is from RNAcentral.